Molecule: non-coding RNA, 140 nt
Organism: Fukomys damarensis (Damara mole-rat)
Lineage: Eukaryota; Metazoa; Chordata; Mammalia; Rodentia; Bathyergidae
Source: Rfam
UUAUCCUGGUCUGUGCCUUUCCUGCUCACCUGUGCCUAAUGCUAACAAGGUAGCCUGGUAGGACACAUAGCAGUCUCCCUUUCAGUUAAUGAGGUCCAUCCGAUCAGGGAGAGCUAUUUAAAAAAACAGAAAAGAAAAAA